Molecule: ribosomal RNA, 468 nt
Filed under: uncultured bacterium
Lineage: Bacteria
Description: partial 16S ribosomal RNA
Rfam family: Bacterial small subunit ribosomal RNA
Source: RNAcentral
GACGAACGCUGGCGGCGUGCUUAACACAUGCCAGUCGAACGGGAAGGCCCUGCUUUUGUGGGGUGCUCUAGUUGCGAACGGGUGAGUAACCCUUGGGUAACCUGCCCUUGACUGUGGGAUAACUUCAGAAAACUUGGUCUAAUACCGCAUAGGAGCUCCUGCUGCUUGGUGGGGGUUGGUAAGUUUAGGUGGUUGGGGAUGGACUCGCGGCUUAUCAGCUUGUUGGUGGGGUAGUGUAUUACCAAGGCUUUGAAGGGUAGCCGGGCUGCGCGGGUGAGCGGCCACAUUGGGACUGGGCUACGGCCCAGCCUCCUCCGGGAGGCAGCAGUGGAGAAGAGUGUACUAUGGGCUGAAGCCAGACGCAGCACAGCAGCGCGGGGGAUGACGGGCAUCGGGUAGUAUACCGAUUUCGUCUGUCACGAAGCGUGAGUGACGGUAAUGGGUAAAGAAGCACCGGCUAACUACGUG